AUACGUAGGUGGCGAGCGUUGUCCGGAAUUACUGGGCGUAAAGGGCGCGUAGGCGGCCUGUCAAGUCAGAUGUGAAAUCCCCGGGCUUAACCCGGGAACUGCAUUUGAAACUGGCGGGCUUGAGGGCAGGAGAGGAAAGCGGAACUCCCAGUGUAGCGGUGAAAUGCGUAGAUAUUGGGAAGAACACCAGUGGCGAAGGCGACUGCCUGGACGGCUCCUGACGCUGAGGCGCGAAAGCCAGGGGAGCGAACGGGAUUAGAUACCCCGGUAGUCCUGGCUGUAAACGAUGGGUACUAGGUGUUGGGGGUAUCGACCCCUCCAGUGCCGCAGUUAACGCAAUAAGUACCCCGCCUGGGGAGUACGGCCGCAAGGUUGAA
Molecule: ribosomal RNA, 377 nt
Filed under: uncultured bacterium
Lineage: Bacteria
Description: bacterial SSU rRNA
Rfam family: Bacterial small subunit ribosomal RNA
Source: RNAcentral